AACCGGCGCCUCAAGUGUUUUUCGCUUUUAUUGGGACUAAAAUUCCGUAGCCGGUCUGGUAGAUUUUUGGGUAAAUCAACCCGCUCAACUGGUUGAAUUCUGCGAGCACGGCCAGACUUGGGCCGGGAGAGGUGUGGGGUACUCUUAUGGUAGGGGUAAAAUCCUGUCAUCCUGAGAGGACCCCCUGUUGGGAAGGCGCCCCACUAAAACGGAUCCGACGGUCAGGGACAAAACCUAUGGGCACGAACCGGAUAAUAUACCCGGGUAGUCCUAGGUGUAAACGCUAUGGACUUGAUGUUGGGGGGGCUCCGAGCGCUUUCAGUGUCGAAGCGAAGGUGAUAAGUCCACUGCCUGGGGAGUACGGUCGCAAGGCUGAAAC
Molecule: ribosomal RNA, 379 nt
Filed under: uncultured archaeon
Lineage: Archaea
Description: bacterial SSU rRNA
Rfam family: Archaeal small subunit ribosomal RNA
Source: RNAcentral